AAACAAUACGAUAAUAAUACAAGAAGCUAAGGCACAGAGAUGACUUUAAAAAAGAACAAAUAAAUGAUAAAUAUAAAUAUAAAUAUAAAUAAACCAACCCAAAAAAAAAGUCCAACAGGCAAUUAAAUAAAUUUCUAAAUGUAUUUCAAUGUGUGGCGGCAGAUGCUAACGGCAGAAUUUACAAAGUCAUAACAAAUGGUACUGCAGAUCCAAACUACAAUACAAAUUAACAGAUGAAGAUGAAAAUGAAGUGUUAUGAAACUUCAUGCAGACAAAUAUUGUAAAAGCAGCCCCAGAAGCUCUAUUUCAAAUGCGACAAAAAUAAAUAUAAU
Molecule: long non-coding RNA, 332 nt
Filed under: Drosophila guanche
Lineage: Eukaryota; Metazoa; Arthropoda; Insecta; Diptera; Drosophilidae
Source: RNAcentral